AGUGGCGGACGGGUGAGUAAUGCAUGGGAAUCUGCCUUGUAGUGGGGGAUAACGUGGGGAAACUCACGCUAAUACCCGCAUACGACCUACGGGUGAAAGGGGGGGCUCUUCGGACCUCUCGCUAUAAGAUGAGCCUAUGUCGGAUUAGCUAGUUGGUAGGGUAAAGGCCUACCAAGGCGACGAUCCAUAGCUGGUCUGAGAGGAUGAUCAGCCACACUGGGACUGAGACACGGCCCAGACUCCUACGGGAGGCAGCAGUGGGGAAUAUUGGACAAUGGGCGGAAGCCUGAUCCAGCAAUACCGCGUGUGUGAAGAAGGCCUGAGGGUUGUAAAGCACUUUCAAUGGGAAGGAAUACCUAACGGCGAAUACCCGUUAGACUGACAUUACCCAUACAAGAAGCACCGGCUAACUCCGUGCCAGCAGCCGCGGUGGUACGGAGGGUGCAAGCGUUAAUCGGAAUUACUGGGCGUAAAGCGUGCGUAGGCGGUUCGUUAAGUCAGAUGUGAAAGCCCUGGGCUCAACCUGGGAACUGCAUUUGAUACUGGCGAACUAGAGUUGAGUAGAGGAGAGUGGAAUUUCAGGUGUAGCGGUGAAAUGCGUAGAGAUCUGAAGGAACACCAGUGGCGAAGGCGGCUCUCUGGACUCAAACUGACGCUGAGGUACGAAAGCGUGGGUAGCAAACAGGAUUAGAUACCCUGGUAGUCCACGCCGUAAACGAUGUCAACUAACCGUUGGGUUCUUAAAGAACUUAGUGGUGGAGCUAACGUAUUAAGUUGACCGCCUGGGGAGUACGGCCGCAAGGCUAAAACUCAAAUGAAUUGACGGGGGCCCGCACAAGCGGUGGAGCAUGUGGUUUAAUUCGAUGCAACGCGAAGAACCUUACCUACCCUUGACAU
Molecule: ribosomal RNA, 897 nt
Filed under: uncultured Gammaproteobacteria bacterium
Lineage: Bacteria; Pseudomonadati; Pseudomonadota; Gammaproteobacteria
Description: bacterial SSU rRNA
Rfam family: Bacterial small subunit ribosomal RNA
Source: RNAcentral